GAUGAGUAGGGCGGGACACGUGGUAUCCUGUCUGAAUAUGGGGGGACCAUCCUCCAAGGCUAAAUACUCCUGACUGACCGAUAGUGAACCAGUACCGUGAGGGAAAGGCGAAAAGAACCCCGGCGAGGGGAGUGAAAAAGAACCUGAAACCGUGUACGUACAAGCAGUGGGAGCACAGAGCAAUCUGUGUGACUGCGUACCUUUUGUAUAAUGGGUCAGCGACUUAUAUUCUGUAGCAAGGUUAACCGAAUAGGGGAGCCGAAGGGAAACCGAGUCUUAACUGGGCGUUAAGUUGCAGGGUAUAGACCCGAAACCCGGUGAUCUAGCCAUGGGCAGGUUGAAGGUUGGGUAACACUAACUGGAGGACCGAACCGACUAAUGUUGAAAAAUUAGCGGAUGACUUGUGGCUGGGGGUGAAAGGCCAAUCAAACCGGGAGAUAGCUGGUUCUCCCCGAAAGCUAUUUAGGUAGCGCCUCGUGAAUUCAUCUCCGGGGGUAGAGCACUGUUUCGGCAAGGGGGUCAUCCCGACUUACCAACCCGAUGCAAACUGCGAAUACCGGAGAAUGUUAUCACGGGAGACACACGGCGGGUGCUAACGUCCGUCGUGAAGAGGGAAACAACCCAGACCGCCAGCUAAGGUCCCAAAGUCAUGGUUAAGUGGGAAACGAUGUGGGAAGGCCCAGACAGCCAGGAUGUUGGCUUAGAAGCAGCCAUCAUUUAAAGAAAGCGUAAUAGCUCACUGGUCGAGUCGGCCUGCGCGGAAGAUGUAACGGGGCUAAACCAUGCACCGAAGCUGCGGCAGCGACACUGUGUGUUGUUGGGUAGGGGAGCGU
RNAcentral lists this ribosomal RNA (833 nucleotides) under Escherichia coli. RNAcentral's name for it is "partial 23S ribosomal RNA". It matches the Rfam family "Bacterial large subunit ribosomal RNA", at positions 407 to 1239 of the family's 2925-position model. Lineage: Bacteria; Pseudomonadati; Pseudomonadota; Gammaproteobacteria; Enterobacterales; Enterobacteriaceae. The record is from RNAcentral.